Molecule: small RNA, 66 nt
Filed under: Enterococcus faecium
Lineage: Bacteria; Bacillati; Bacillota; Bacilli; Lactobacillales; Enterococcaceae
Description: Bacteria_large_SRP
Rfam family: Bacterial small signal recognition particle RNA
About the family: The signal recognition particle (SRP) is a universally conserved ribonucleoprotein involved in the co-translational targeting of proteins to membranes. Archaeal SRP consists of a 7S RNA and homologues of the eukaryotic SRP19 and SRP54 proteins.
Source: RNAcentral
CAAUGGUGGGCUUGUGAAGCGUGUCAGGUCUGGAAGGAAGCAGCACUAAGCAGGUUCCGCCAUGUG